AGAGUUUGAUCCUGGCUCAGGACGAACGCUGGCGGCGUACUUAACACAUGCAAGUCGAACGAGAACGGGGACUUCGGUCCCUUAGUAAAGUGGCGAACGGGUGCGUAACACGUAAGUAAUCUGCCCCAGACUCUGGGAUAACGUUUCGAAAGAGGCGCUAAUACCGGAUAGUUUCUAGUGGCACAAGUCGCUGGAGGAAAGUUAGCUUGCUUUCGGUCUGGGAUGAGCUUGCGGCCCAUUAGCUAGUUGGUGGGGUUAAGGCUCACCAAGGCGACGAUCAGUAGCUGGUCUGAGAGGAUGAUCAGCCACAUUGGGACUGAGACACGGCCCAAACUCCUACGGGAGGCAGCAGUGGGGAAUAUUGGACAAUGGGCGCAAGCCUGAUCCAGCCAUGCCGCGUGAGUGAUGAAGGCCUUAGGGUUGUAAAGCUCUUUCGUCCGGGACGAUAAUGACGGUACCGGAAGAAGAAGCCCCGGCUAACUUCGUGCCAGCAGCCGCGGUAAUACGAAGGGGGCUAGCGUUGUUCGGAAUCACUGGGCGUAAAGGGCGCGUAGGCGGCUUUGUAAGUCGGGGGUGAAAGCCUGUGGCUCAACCACAGAAUUGCCUUCGAUACUGCAUGGCUUGAGACCGGAAGAGGUUAGUGGAACUGCGAGUGUAGAGGUGAAAUUCGUAGAUAUUCGCAAGAACACCAGUGGCGAAGGCGGCUGACUGGUCCGGUUCUGACGCUGAGGCGCGAAAGCGUGGGGAGCAAACAGGAUUAGAUACCCCCGUAGUCC
Molecule: ribosomal RNA, 776 nt
Filed under: uncultured Microvirga sp.
Lineage: Bacteria; Pseudomonadati; Pseudomonadota; Alphaproteobacteria; Hyphomicrobiales; Methylobacteriaceae
Description: bacterial SSU rRNA
Rfam family: Bacterial small subunit ribosomal RNA
Source: RNAcentral